RNAcentral lists this long non-coding RNA (3597 nucleotides) under Pan troglodytes (chimpanzee). RNAcentral describes it as "long non-coding RNA NONPTRT004988". Lineage: Eukaryota; Metazoa; Chordata; Mammalia; Primates; Hominidae. The record is from RNAcentral.
GUGCACCUGGAGCCCACUCCACCUGAUGCCUCCACAGCCCUCACAGGGUCUGACCUCCCAGCAUGCACCUGCCUCUCCCUGCACCCCAGCUGUCCACCCUACCUGUUCCCUGACUUCCUCCAUCCUGUCCAGCAGGAUGGGAUGGACAUGGGGACAGCCUGUUUGCACAUUUCGUGGCGAGUGGGAGUGACACACCAUCUCUGGGAGGCACCAUGCUUCCUGCCAAACCCGAUCCCAAGACUCUGUCCUUGAGGUGGUUUUACCAAACCCCAAACCCAGAACUGCGGUUGUGGCUCAGGGGUCAGCUCCUGCUAGUGCCAGGACACUACUGGGAGGCUGGGACCUGACCAAAGCCCAUGGUGUCUCUGGCCUGAGGACAAGGUGUCUUGGGACCAUAAGGCCAGGCCACCAAUGGCCAUUGGGUCAUAGGGGCUUAGCCCCAAUGUUUGUCCUACCCUGACUCCUUCUGGUUCAGUCCCAUCAGGGCCCUGGAUCCCAAGACUCAGCAUCCAAGGUCCCCUCCAGGAAUCCUGGCAGCUCAGCAUGCUUUAUCCCAUUUCAUCUGAGAGCAAAAAUGUAAAAUUGUAUGCACAGAAAAGUGACUCAAAGUGCUUAAUGACUAGAAGAAAUCUAGGAGCAGCAAGAAGGUAAUGUGGAGGGAGGGACCUCCAUGACCGGUGUCUGCAGAGCCAGGGGUACAGGCACCCAGUGCUGUGGCCUGGCACCACCGGCCUCUCAGAGGGUGGGUGGCACACUCCUUACCCACAGGACAGCAGGCCUGGUCACCAGCUUUUCUACCUGUCUGUGUAGGCAUCACAUUGCUGGAGGAAAAUCUCAUGCCAGAGCUUGGACCAUCCCUAGCUCAGGGGUUAAGGGUUGUCCCUUGGUGACCUAAAUGAAAAAACAGGUCCAGAACAGAGUUCCUGAUGCUGGACACUCAUUCAGUCUUUGAAUCGUGGGAUGGGAGGCCUGGUACUAGGUAGACCUAACCUCUUUGAGGAACCACAGAGCCCAAGGCUGGAAACCUCCAGAAUCCUCCACCCCCUGAUCCUCCCUGGGGACCCCUGUGGCCUAUCUCACUGAGCACUCUUCCAUCUGUAGAUGUCUGGGUUGCUGUACAAGGGAGUCCCCUUUCAGGUGUGGUGCUAGACAUGGUCACUCCUGCUGGAUGUCUAGAUGGUAGAAACCAAGGACCUAGGGAAAUAGCAGGUACAGCCUUUCCACGCUCAUCCAGAGCAGGACAAACAGGCCAGGCAGGGUCAGGAGCCCAGGUCUCCAGCUGGAGGGAACUUCAACCCUGCAGUGGGAGCAGGGGCCCUUUGCACAUCCUAGGCACAGAUGGUAAUGUAGACACCACAGGUAAGCUGGGCUUUGUACCUACCCCUCCCCGGAUUCAAAGAAGCCAAACAAGGAGCUUUGUGCAGAAUGAAACCUCCUUUCCUCCCAGAAGCACUGCUGACUGUUUGGUCGUUGCCAUUUGUGGCAGUGAGCCUUUGUUUGUUCUGAGGUUGGGCUGGUUUCUCCUCUUGGCCCUGCCCUACAGAUCAAAAAGGAGAACAGCAAGAGGUCCCCAGCAAACAUCCACAGAUGGCCUUGGAAAUAAGUCACCUUGUGAGAAACAUGUCAUGUUCUGGGAGGGAUAAGGCAUCAACCUCACCCUGCAGGAAUGCCAGUGAACAUAUUGCUGACAUCUUGGAGCUCAGUACCCUCAUAGUGUAACGGCGUCAGCAGAUCUGCCUGUGCUUGGACUUCCUGUACUACCCAUUCCUGAGGGGCGAUGCUUCUGCAGGGCCUGUGACUUGGUGCACAACUUCAGACACCAUCAUCUUGCAGCAGCACCGCACCCUCACUAGCCAGGGUGUUGAUGACUUCCUCAAGGCCAGGGCCACGUUCAAGGCUUCAGACUUCAUUGAUGCACUUGUGCUGAGCAAGGUGGCUUCUCCGGGAUCUUAAUUCAGGAGGUAGAAUGGAGCUUGAGAUCAAGCGUCUGAUCAAGCCUCAGUGUAUGGGCACUGUUCAUCCUCUGGUGCUGAAGCAGCCAAAAGACACAAGUCUGCCUGGCUGCCUCUUAGGAUAUGACAGCAGAGCCAGUGGCCUCUACUAGAUCCUGUACAACCUCACAAAACACCCAGACGUUGGGAGUGCUGCCAGCCUGUGAUGCAAGAGUCCUGAUCCUGAAGACAUUAAAUGACCUGUCAUUGUGCUGUUUUUACCAAAAAGGAUCAUGAGGAUCAGAGAGGAAAAGUCACUUGCCCAAAGUCACACAGCUGAACAGUGGUGGAGUUCAACUUUGACCGUGGGCUGUCUGGCUCCAAGGUGUAUGCUUGCUUCUCUCCCAAGAGACUCCUUUCUUAUCAGCCUCAAAUGAAUGAAUGAAUGGAGGAUGUUAAAGACAACGCCAUUAUUGACGAGAUCACUCCCAAGUGGAUUAGAAAUCUCCAAUACUUAGACCUAUAGCAAGGCCUUGGGAGAAAUGGUGGUGCAGCAGGAGAGCAGGAACCUAACCAUUGCCAUCCUAAGGCCCUCCAUUGUGCGGAGCAACGUGGCACCAGCUUUUCCUGGUAAGCCCACUUACCUGGAUUCUGUGUUUUGCUUUCAAACUAAGGUUCUUCUAGCCCAAUUAUUUUCUGAUGUCUUUCUUCUUCUUCUCCUCGGGAUUUAUAGCUAAGUGCAGCCAAUCAAAUAUUAACCCAUUAUACUAGGGCAAAAUUCCACUUUGGGAUCAUGCGGCUCUUCUGGCAGUUACCCUAUCUUAGAGUUGGAUGGAGAUCUUAAAUUAGGUUCUAACUACUCUAGUCUCAAAAUUCCCAUGGGUGAUGUUUUCAUAGCUUCGCUUUCCCACUGUAGCUUAAACAUACCAGAAUGUUCUUGAUGGCCAAAUUGGUAGUAUUACAACUAACUGCCAGGGUUACAAAGCUCACAGAAGGAUCUCAGUUUGGGAAUACUAAUUUUUUUUAACCUCAGUAUACUGCUAUGUCCUUUUGAAAGUACUUUGAAUUAUACCAUCUUCUUCAAAGCAAGUCCGUGAAGCUUUGGGGGCAGAUACAUUCCAGCUCCACCACUUACUGGCAAUGCAACAUUUUUGAGUUGUUCUUUCCAUAGAACAGGACAGAUACUACUUUGGAGAGUUGGUUUAAUGAGACAAUGUAUGAGGAGUGCUCAGUCUCUAGUAAAAGGUAGAUCCCUACUAAAAGGCUCAACGAAUAUUAGUCCCUUCAUCUUCUCCUCCCGUAUAUCUGGUCUCCCAUUAUACACAUUUCAACUUUUAUACUGUAAGGUAAAGAGACGGCUUAGGGCUUAGGAAACAAACUCAAAAAGACAUUUCCCUCUAACUGCUCUUUAGCAUAAUCUUUCCUGUAACAUCUUUAAGCAAGUCAACACACAUUAUUACCAAUCAUGUUUUCAAUGUUCUCCUAAGGAGGCUAAAAUCAGGAAUGAGGUGAAGUAUGGUUGGUGAAUUGCUUAGCAGAUCAUGGUAUAAGGACAAGAUCCAUUGUAGCCCUUAAGUUGUCAUAAAACGCCACAAAACCAUUCAUGACUCCUGCUACGAACAACAAUCCUGGCCAAAUUUUAAUUCUUGCACAAACUGCAGAAAAU